This 103-nucleotide small nuclear RNA is filed under the name Rhinopithecus roxellana (golden snub-nosed monkey). Lineage: Eukaryota; Metazoa; Chordata; Mammalia; Primates; Cercopithecidae. The record is from RNAcentral.
GCGCUUUGGCAGCACAUACACUAAAUUUGGAAUGAUACAGAGAACAUUAGCAUGGCCCUUGUGCAAGGAUGACACACAAAUUCAUAAAGCAUUCCAUAUUUUU